AGGAAAUAAGUGUGAUGUAUAAAUAGCCCAACCCAAGCAAAGUAGUAGCCCAAAAUGGCCCAACUAAUUGCCGUAGGUAGAAGCGGUACCGUCGAGGCAAAAAAGAAGUGAGAAGAAGAGAGUCGUGACCAUGAUGCAGUCAAGAGAACCAUGACCAUUUUCAUUCUCUUUUUCGAUUUUUGUUUCGAUUGUAAAAUUAUACACAAUGGAUCAGUAGUAGGACCAAGCGAUCCAUCAAAGUGCUCCAAGAGGUACAAAGGGUGUCCAAAGAUCUUUCCAGAACUGGCAAGCACGACCGUGAUGAAUAGCUACAUAUGAUAUGGGACGCUCAUUUAAUAUAGAUCUUUUGUUCUUCAGGGAGUAGAAGAAGAAUCCCACAUAGAUGAUGAAAGUGGGAAUCGAGGUACUAAAAGCAAAGUUAGGCAAAGUGAAUCCCACCAGCCACACUAAUUCUACUAAUUAGAUAAAGUGAAGAGAGAUGCCCGAUGGAGAAAAGGUGGCCUGCGUUACCAGAGCUUCCGGUUACAUAGUGUCUUGAAUGUCAAGCUUUUACUCCUCCGUGGCUACAACGUCAAUGCCACCAUUCAAGUCCCAAGUUUGGUCCUAUAUGAAAUUACUAAGAAUGCAGAAACAUCAAAGAAAACAAAGGUGAGUAUAAUGGUUUAAAAGUAUGCUGUGGUUUUUGGUGUUUGGUGAUGUUUAUUAGCGUUUAGGUGUAGAUUAUUUAUAGGCUCAACAUUAGGUCGAUAUCCGUAGCUUAUCACGCAAAACAAAAAUCCUAAAUAGCAACUAAUUAAGGAUAAAAUCUUUCAAAUCUACAGUAAUAUGGAAUAUGCCAAGAAUAUGGUAAUUUAUGAGUCAUAAUUUUUUUUAUCUUAAAUCGAUUUUGUAGAGAUAUUAGAGAUAUGAUGAGUGAUUAGUUGCAAGAAUAUAUACUGGAAUCUUGCUUUUGGAAAGAAAACGUAUAGAUUUGUAAACAAUGCAUCAUUAGUUUGUUUAUGAAAUUGUAUUGUUAGAGAUCUUGUUGAUUUGAAAUAUCCAAAAUGAUUUGUUGGUAGUAAUUAAAUUGAUUUGUAAGGGAUUGUAAAUUAUAGAAAGUAUUCAACGACAAUUAAUGGAGAUAUUUGAGGGAAUGGUUGUUAUUUCCUAAAUCUUUUAGUUGAUAUUUAAAAAGUAA
This is a long non-coding RNA of Arabidopsis lyrata subsp. lyrata, 1177 nucleotides long. RefSeq lists it as uncharacterized. NCBI's taxonomy places the organism in Eukaryota, Viridiplantae, Streptophyta, Magnoliopsida, Brassicales, Brassicaceae. The transcript has 3 exons. The record is from RefSeq and is a predicted model, not a curated record.